ACAGAGGGUGCGAGCGUUGUCCGGAAUCACUGGGCGUAAAGGGCGCGUAGGCGGUCGGGUAAGCGUGUGGUGAAAGUCCGGGGCUCAACCCCGGAUCGGCCAUGCGAACUGUCCGACUGGAGCACGGUAGAGGCACAUGGAAUUCCGGGUGUAGCGGUGGAAUGCGUAGAGAUCCGGAAGAACACCGGUGGCGAAGGCGGUGUGCUGGGCCGUAGCUGACGCUGAGGCGCGACAGCGUGGGGAGCAAACAGGAUUAGAUACCCUGGUAGUCCACGCCGUAAACGAUGGGCACUAGGUCCUUGGGGGAGCGACCCCGUGAGGGCCGGCGCUAACGCAUUAAGUGCCCCGCCUGGGGAGUACGGCCGCAAGGCUG
RNAcentral lists this ribosomal RNA (373 nucleotides) under uncultured bacterium. RNAcentral describes it as "bacterial SSU rRNA". It matches the Rfam family "Bacterial small subunit ribosomal RNA", at positions 525 to 896 of the family's 1533-position model. The record is from RNAcentral.